AGGUGAAAUUUGGUUCCUGAGGGUGAUUGGUAUGGCUUGUAAGAAUGUUGUAUCUACGGAGGUUGAAGUAUAAAUCAGGAUUAGAUACCCUGUUAUUUUUAAUUUUAAAUUAAUAGCUUGAAUAGUAAACAGUUAUGAUCUCGAAACUUAAAGAAUUUGGCGGUAUUUUAGUCUAGUUAGAGGAACCUGUUCAGUAAACGAUAUUCCACGAAUAAUCUUACUUUUUCUAGUGAUUGUGCAGUUUGUAUACCUCCAUUUGUCUAAGUAAUUUCAAAAGAAUAUACUGAAAUAAUUGAAUCUUUUAAUUAAUAAUUUAGGUCAAGGUGCAGCUUAUGGGAAAGAAUGAAAUGGGUUACAGUAAAACGAGUUUUUGUGCGGAUAAAAAAGUUAAAUAUUUUUUGAAGGUGGAUUUAAUAGUAAUUUUAUUUUAAUAUGAUAAUCUGAAAUUAGCUCUAAGGUGUGUA
RNAcentral lists this ribosomal RNA (464 nucleotides) under Plesionika hsuehyui. Its description in RNAcentral is "12S ribosomal RNA". The record is from RNAcentral. Lineage: Eukaryota; Metazoa; Arthropoda; Malacostraca; Decapoda; Pandalidae.